UUAUUACUCCAUCUGUCCCAUAAAAUUUGUCUUAAAUUUAUCUAGAUAUGAAUAUACGUAGUCAUACUUUAGUGUUACGAUACAUUCAUUUGUAGACAAACGUAAGACAAAAUUUAUGGAACGGAAGGAGUACUAU
RNAcentral lists this microRNA precursor (136 nucleotides) under Hordeum vulgare. RNAcentral's name for it is "microRNA MIR1122". It matches the Rfam family "MIR1120/MIR1122 microRNA precursor family". Lineage: Eukaryota; Viridiplantae; Streptophyta; Magnoliopsida; Poales; Poaceae. The record is from RNAcentral.